AUUGAACGCUGGCGGCAGGCCUAACACAUGCAAGUCGAGCGGCAGCGGAAAGUAGCUUGCUACUUUGCCGGCGAGCGGCGGACGGGUGAGUAAUGUCUGGGAAACUGCCUGAUGGAGGGGGAUAACUACUGGAAACGGUAGCUAAUACCGCAUAACGUCGCAAGACCAAAGAGGGGGACCUUCGGGCCUCUUGCCAUCAGAUGUGCCCAGAUGGGAUUAGCUAGUAGGUGGGGUAACGGCUCACCUAGGCGACGAUCCCUAGCUGGUCUGAGAGGAUGACCAGCCACACUGGAACUGAGACACGGUCCAGACUCCUACGGGAGGCAGCAGUGGGGAAUAUUGCACAAUGGGCGCAAGCCUGAUGCAGCCAUGCCGCGUGUAUGAAGAAGGCCUUCGGGUUGUAAAGUACUUUCAGCGGGGAGGAAGGCGUUGAGGUUAAUAACCUCAGCGAUUGACGUUACCCGCAGAAGAAGCACCGGCUGACUCCGUGCCAGCAGCCGCGGUAAUACGGAGGGUGCAAGCGUUAAUCGGAAUUACUGGGCGUAAAGCGCACGCAGGCGGUCUGUCAAGUCGGAUGUGAAAUCCCCGGGCUCAACCUGGGAACUGCAUUCGAAACUGGCAGGCUAGAGUCUUGUAGAGGGGGGUAGAAUUCCAGGUGUAGCGGUGAAAUGCGUAGAGAUCUGGAGGAAUACCGGUGGCGAAGGCGGCCCCCUGGACAAAGACUGACGCUCAGGUGCGAAAGCGUGGGGAGCAAACAGG
Molecule: ribosomal RNA, 759 nt
Filed under: uncultured Enterobacteriaceae bacterium
Lineage: Bacteria; Pseudomonadati; Pseudomonadota; Gammaproteobacteria; Enterobacterales; Enterobacteriaceae
Description: bacterial SSU rRNA
Rfam family: Bacterial small subunit ribosomal RNA
Source: RNAcentral